AAGUAACAGAAGACAGAGGUCCUAGAGGAGAGAGAGAGGAAAGUGUAAGCAGCAGACGGAGUUCACCUUCCUCUUCUCCGCUUCAGAACUUCCCACUACAUGGCAGUCUUCAUACAGCCGGGUCAAGAGAAACACACCUGGGGAUCUGGGACACAACGAGAGAAGGAACACAAGCAGCGGGAGUGAGAGAGGGAGAAGCAGGCUUCCCACUGAGCAGGGAACACGAUGCGGGUCUCGAUCCCUGGACCCCAGGAUCAUGACCUGAGGCAAAGGCAGAUGCCCAACCAACUGAACCAACCAGGCACUCCCAAACUCAGGAGUUUUAUUUACCACCACCACCCCUGGCAUCAAACACCAGUGCUCAUCUCUACAGGAAAAUCUAUCUUCAUCUUUGAUACCAUGGAUGAGGCAAAGGUAGCAGCAAGUGCAUCGUCGGAUUUGGCCCCUGGGCGCCAGUUCGCCAACCACUGUCACAGACAGGGAGAGCGGGAGAGAGAAUGCGGACGGCAGAGACUCAUCACCGUGAGCCAGCUUACACCCUGGGAACCGUCCUGUCCGAGGGCCUCAUGACAAGAAACUGAUGGCUUCAGCCAACACCGACAAGAUCUGAGCCACAGGAGGGAGCCAGGACAUGCUGUCUUGUCCCGCGCAGUCUGGAGAAGACUACUGCCCCAGCUGACACUUCGAUGCGGACUUGUCAGAGGAUCUGAGCUCCGGGCUGAGCUGCGACUGGAUUUCUGCCUCACAGGAAAACCCUGAGACAAUAAAUGUGCAUUGUUUUAUUGUGCUCAAUUUUAAGCUAAUGUGUUACAGUGCAACAGAUAACUACCACAAUUGUGUUAGAUGAUUUAGAUACAAUCUUGCAUUUAAUCUUCACAAUAAACCUAGAGCAUACAGUUUACUGUCAACUUUAUGGACAAAAAAAUAAAGCCCCAGGAGAUUCUGUAA
Molecule: long non-coding RNA, 948 nt
Filed under: Mustela putorius furo (domestic ferret)
Lineage: Eukaryota; Metazoa; Chordata; Mammalia; Carnivora; Mustelidae
Description: lncRNA (ENSMPUG00000029207.1)
Source: RNAcentral